UCGAGAAUCUUCGGCAAUGGACGCAAGUCUGACCGAGCGAUGCCGCGUGCGGGAUGAAGGCCUUCGGGUUGUAAACCGCUGUCAGUUGGGAGGAAAUCUGUGGGGGUCAUCCCCCAUGGUUGACUAAUCUUCAGAGGAAGGACGGGCUAAGUUCGUGCCAGCAGCCGCGGUAACACGAACCGUCCAAACGUUAUUCGGUAUCACUGGGCUUAAAGCGUGCGUAGGCGGCCUGGAAGGUGAGAUGUGAAAGCCCACGGCUCAACCGUGGAACUGCGUUUCAAACCACCAGGCUUGAGGAAGAUAGGGGUGAUGGGAACUGAUGGUGGAGCGGUGAAAUGCGUUGAUAUCAUCAGGAACACCGGUGGCGAAAGCGCAUCACUGGAUCUUUUCUGACGCUCAGGCACGAAAGCUAGGGUAGCGAACGGGAUUAGAUACCCCCGUAGUCC
RNAcentral lists this ribosomal RNA (446 nucleotides) under uncultured prokaryote. RNAcentral's name for it is "bacterial SSU rRNA". It matches the Rfam family "Bacterial small subunit ribosomal RNA", at positions 355 to 796 of the family's 1533-position model. The record is from RNAcentral.